Olea europaea var. sylvestris is the source of this 1239-nucleotide RNA transcript. It is a transcript of the gene named protein-lysine methyltransferase METTL21D, with no coding region annotated. The record is from RefSeq and is a predicted model, not a curated record. The transcript has 3 exons. NCBI's taxonomy places the organism in Eukaryota, Viridiplantae, Streptophyta, Magnoliopsida, Lamiales, Oleaceae.
UCUGAAGAGCUGCUUUAAGGAGAGCAAAAAUUUUCAGCAACCAAAGGAAAAGAAAAGAAUGAAAUUCACAGAUUCGCCUGUAAUCGACCUGCCGGUGCUUGACACGCGCCUCUCCAUUCAGCAAGACAACGGCUCGAUGCACGUUGGCACUUCUGUCUGGCCCUGCUCCUUGGUCCUAGUCAAGUUCUCCGAACGCUGGCACCCGCAAACAUUUGCCGUGAGUGAUACGCACCCCACCAACCCUUAUGCUGACCUCCUAAACUUCACCAACAAGCGAGGCGUGGAGCUUGGAGCCGGCUGCGGAGUAGCCGCCAUGGGACUCUACCUGCUCGGCCUGCACGACGUCGUAAUUACAGACAUUGCUCCUGUUAUGCCAGCCCUAAAGCACAAUUUGAAGAGGAACAAGCCAGUUUUGAAGAAGACCCUAAAGACGGCCCAGUUGUAUUGGGCGAAAGAGGAGCAGAUUCAGGCAUUAGGCCCGCCUUUUGAUUUUGUAAUUGCGACGGACGUGGUUUAUUUGGAGGAGACGGUGGCGCCGUUAAUUAGGGCAAUGGAAAGUUUGGUGGCAGAUGACGGUGUCGUUUUAUUGGGUUACCAGCUGAGGUCGCCGGAGGCUCAUAAAUUAUUCUGGGAAAUGUGCGGGACCGUUUUUGAGGUGGAGAAGAUCCCACACGAGCAUUUGCACCCGGACUACGCUUACGAGGAGACUGAUGUUUAUGUUUUCAGGAAGAAAAAGCAGGAUGUUUAACAUAUCUAUCAAUUUUGGGAUCAUAUGGGCCAGUUAAAGGGACCUAGCCUUAAUUCCCAACGAUGGGUGUUGAAGCAGAAGAUACUUAAGUUAUUGGGGAGAUAUUUGAUGGAAGUCAAUGGUGAGUUGAUUCAUUUCGGACUGCACAUAUCUUUGGAAGGAAAACAACUCCAUCUGACAUAGAUAACCUGGUUACAUCAAGAAAAGUUGUUCGAAAGGUGAAGCAGGCUCGUGUAAUUUCUUGGACUCAAAUGGGCAUUGUGUCUCUUUUUAUAGGAGAUGGUAAUUUCGCUAAGUAAGAUAUGUACAUCUUCAUGGCAAUGCGCUAGUUGUCAUGAUAGAGGACUAUCAUGCUUGUACUCGGUCGCUCCUCCUGCUUCGACUGUGCGGCAGAGGCCUCCUCUUCUCAAGAUAUGACAUAGCCGGACCUUCCCCUUUCCUCCGAAGAGUAGAAACAGGAGAGCAAAAAAAAAAAAAAAAAAAAAAAAAAA